GGUCGUGUGCCCGAGUGGUGAGGGAGCGGUCGGCAAAACCGCGUACGCCGGUUCGAUCCCGGUCACGGCCUCGA
This 74-nucleotide transfer RNA is filed under the name Micromonospora saelicesensis. RNAcentral's name for it is "tRNA-Cys". It matches the Rfam family "tRNA". From Rfam's summary of the family: Transfer RNA (tRNA) molecules are approximately 80 nucleotides in length. Their secondary structure includes four short double-helical elements and three loops (D, anti-codon, and T loops). Lineage: Bacteria; Bacillati; Actinomycetota; Actinomycetes; Micromonosporales; Micromonosporaceae. The record is from RNAcentral.